CUGGCGGCAUGCCUAACACAUGCAAGUCGAACGAGAUCUUCGGAUCUAGUGGCGCACGGGUGAGUAACGCGUGGGAACCUACCUUUUAGUACGGGACAACGUUUGGAAACGAACGCUAAUACCGUAUACGCCCUCCGGGGGAAAGGUCAGCCGCUAAAAGAGGGGCCCGCGUCUGAUUAGCUUGUUGGUAAGGUAAUGGCUUACCAAGGCUACGAUCAGUAGCUGGUCUGAGAGGAUGAUCAGCCACACUGGGACUGAGACACGGCCCAGACUCCUACGGGAGGCAGCAGUGGGGAAUAUUGGACAAUGGAGGCAACUCUGAUCCAGCAAUGCCGCGUGUGUGAUGAAGGCCCUAGGGUUGUAAAGCACUUUCAACGGUGAAGAUGAUGACGGUAGCCGUAGAAGAAGCCCCGGCUAACU
Molecule: ribosomal RNA, 420 nt
Filed under: uncultured Alphaproteobacteria bacterium
Lineage: Bacteria; Pseudomonadati; Pseudomonadota; Alphaproteobacteria
Description: bacterial SSU rRNA
Rfam family: Bacterial small subunit ribosomal RNA
Source: RNAcentral